GAUGAACGCUGGCGGCGUGCCUAAUACAUGCAAGUCGAGCGAACAGACUAGGAGCUUGCUCCUCUGACGUUAGCGGCGGACGGGUGAGUAACACGUGGAUAACCUACCUAUAAGACUGGGAUAACUUCGGGAAACCGGAGCUAAUACCGGAUAAUAUAUUGAACCGCAUGGUUCAAUAGUGAAAGACGGUUUUGCUGUCACUUAUAGAUGGCUCCGCGCCGCAUUAGCUAGUUGGUAAGGUAACGGCUUACCAAGGCGACGAUGCGUAGCCGACCUGAGAGGGGGAUCGGCCACACUGGAAAUAGACAACGGUCAAGACUCCUAAGGGAGGCAGCAGUAGGGAAUCUUCCGCAAUGGGCGAAAGCCUGACGGAGCAAAGCCGCGUGAGUGAGGAAGGUCUUCGGAUCGUAAAACUCUGUUAUUAGGGAAGAACAAAUGUGUAAGUAACUAUGCACGUCUUGACGGUACCUAAUCAGAAAGCCACGGCUAACUACGUG
RNAcentral lists this ribosomal RNA (497 nucleotides) under uncultured bacterium. RNAcentral describes it as "partial 16S ribosomal RNA". It matches the Rfam family "Bacterial small subunit ribosomal RNA", at positions 28 to 507 of the family's 1533-position model. The record is from RNAcentral.